This 4409-nucleotide long non-coding RNA is filed under the name Sus scrofa (pig). RNAcentral's name for it is "lncRNA (ENSSSCG00005036605.1)". The record is from RNAcentral. Lineage: Eukaryota; Metazoa; Chordata; Mammalia; Artiodactyla; Suidae.
UAAAAUGUUUUUAAUGCUGUUAAACUGAGAAAAAAAAUUACAUACAUUUAUACAAAUAUUCUCAUGUUCUAGGUAUAUUUUCUUAAGUUUAUCAAUGAGAAAUACGUCAUAAUACAAAGGCAAGUAUUGAAAAUAUAUUUUAGUUGGGCCUGAAUAAAACUCACAAUAUUGAACUAGAAAAACUGGUUGAAGUAAAUUGAGUUUUUGCAACAGUGACAGUUAAAAGCAAUAGCAUACAAAUACCGAGGGGAAUGUUCAAAUAACAGGAAACAACUUAAAAUUUAUUAGGCCUUUAAAAACAGCUCUCAUCCUGACAUUGAGCAUGUGCAGAUCUUUGUGUCAAUAUCUCGGUUAUCUGGCUCCAUGAUUGAGUUUGACAAGUUGAAAAAAUUGUCAUUACUGAAGAGACCACUUCAUUGUUUCUUCAUGUGCAAGCUAGAGGUUUGGAAAAAAAAAAGUAAUGAACACUGGAGAUUGAGGAAAAACCAAAGGUCUAGAUAUCCCUUUUCAAUAUUCUUUAAAGACAUUCUUUGCUAAGGCUACACCUCUCCUUUUAUCUACCUGUUCAUCUCUGGAUGAAUAACCCUUUAAAGUGUAUAUUCAAAUGAUCCCAAGUAUUGAGGUUUGAUUUCUUUUGUUAGAAAACAUGUAAUUUAUAAUUGCUACUUUAUAAUUUUCAAAGUUACUUUCUAGAAAAUAUCCCUUCCCCAGAAUCAAGUUAGCUUUGAAUUUAGUAAGCCUUCACUAUCCUAAUCUCUUCCUCACUUUGUCAUUGGUGCAGAUAGGUUAUCUUUUCUAAAUUCCACUGAUGUUACAGAAAAUCCUAUGCCUAACUGACAAAGCAAUUGGUGUGAGAGAUUCAAGUAAAAUAAAAGUAUGGCUGAUGGAAAAAACAAACUGCACCAUUGCUAUUUUUUAAAUGUCUUAAGAUUAUAAAUACAUGCUUUAAAAAAUUCAAAUAUAUAGAAAAAUACAAAGUGAAAGGCAAAAUUCCCUUUACCCUACCUAACUUCUAACCCUGUUUUAUGCAGCUGCACAGUUGGCUAUAGAAGCCACUAUAUAUAGCUUUGUAAAUUAAAACCAAAAUUAAAAAAAAAAAAAAACGCAGACUCUCACAUUAGCUAUAUUGCAGUUGCCUAAUUACCAAAUGGGACUAGAAGGCAUCGAAUUGGAGAGUGAAGACAGAGAACAUUUCCAUCAUCACAAAAGUCCCAUUGGACAGUUCCAUUGCUCCAUAGUAACCAUAGUUAAGUACUAGUGUAUAAAAGGCUUGUUACGAAUUCUUCAUGUAGUCUGGAUACAGGUCCCUUAUCAGAUAUGAUUUUCAAAUUUUCUCAUUUUGUGGGUUGUCUUUUCACUCUUGGUGGUGUCCCAUAAAGCACAAAAAAUUAAGUUUAGCUCAUUUUUUUCCCUUGUUGCUUGUACUUUGGGGGUUGUUAUCUAAGAAGCUGUUGUUUAGCUCCAGGUCAUGAAGAUUUACUUCUGUGUUUCCUUGUAAGAAUCUUAUAGUUUUAGCUAUUAUAUUUGGGUGUAUGAUCCAUUUUGAGUGAAAAUUUCUGUAUAAGGAAGGAGUCCUUUAGUAUGUGACUACCUAGUUGUUCUAGAACCAUUUGUUGAAAGACUACUCUUAUUAGAUGCCAUUAGCAACUUUACCGAGUAGCAGUUGAUCAUAAAGUGUAUGGGUUCGUUUUUGGACCAUUAUAUUUUAUAUUCCUUUGAUGUGUAUGUCUAUCCAUAUGCUAAUAACACUGUUUUGACUACUGUAGCUUUGUAAAAAACUUUGAAGUUGGUUAAGUGUGAAUCUUUCCACUCUGUUCUUUUUUCAAGAUCAUGUUGGAUACUGUGGGAUUCUUGUAUUUCUGUGUGAAUUUUAUCAUCAAUGUUUACAAAAAAGCCAGCUGGGAUUUUGAUGGGAAUUGCAUUGAAUCUGCAGAGCGAUGUGGGCAGUAUUGCCAUUUAAACAAUGUUAAAUCUUCCAAAAUGGAAAAAAAAAGUCUUUCCAUUUUUUCACAUCUCCUUUUAAUUUCUCAUGUUUCGCAGCUUUAUUUUAUUCAUCUAAUGCUAUUAUAAGCAGAAUUUUAAAAUCUCAAUUCUAGAAUGUUCAUUGCUAGCACAGAUAAACUUAUUUUUGUAUGUUGAUUUUGUAUCUAUCUUGCAACCUGGUGAACUCAUUAGUUUUAAAAUGAAUUCCUUAGUUUUUUAUAUAACGAGAUCACGUCAUCUGUGAAAUACAUUUAGUUUUCCUUCUUCUCCAGUAUGGUUACCCUUAUUUCAUUUUCUUGCCCAAUUGUCCUGGCUAAUGUCUGGAGUACAAUGUUGUAUAGAAGUGGUGAGAAUGAAUAUCCUUGUCUUAUUCCUGCUCUUAGGGGGAAAACAUUCAGUAUUUAGUCUAUUGCUCUUGAGAACGGUGUUAAGAUUUUUUUAUUUGUUUGUUUUUCUUGUGUAGAUGCCCUUUAUCAUCUUGAGGAAGUUCCCUUUUAUUCCUAGUUUGAGUAUUUUUAUCAUGAAAGGGUGCUGAAUUUUAUCAAAUGCUUUUUCUGCAUCUAUUAAUACAGUUAAGACAGUGUGGUCCUUUGGCUCUUUAUGAACAUGAUCCUCAUCAUUCAAGAUUCUGUUUUGUGAAUUUGCUCAUUAUUUAAAAUUUUUAACUCACAAAUCAAUACUUGCAGUGCUUUUAUGAUCAUCCAUGGACAUGUGCAGACUCAAUGAAAUUUAAGUUCCCUGAUGUCCAUGUUCUUAGCUGAGGUCAAACAAGGCAGUGUUUUGUCUUCUUGCUUUAGCACUCCUGCAGAGCUGACUAGAGGAUGGAGAAGGCAGGGGGAAAGGCUGUGUAAUGCAAGAAGCUCUGAUUCUGGGGCCAGGUGGAUGGGUCUGAAUCCCAACUCUGGCCUGUUGCUUGAGUGGCCUCAGGCAAGUCACUUCUGAACUUCAUUUGUCUUUUGUAAAAUAAACAGAAUCUACCAGGAUAAAAUGUUUUUAGGAUUUAAGAUUAUAAUCUAUUUAAUAUAUAUAAAACACACAUAUUUCCCCUAGGAGCAAUGGCUCUGUAUUCGCUAAUUCAGUAUUCAUAGUGAUAUUAUAGAUACAACUACUGUGAAUAAUGAAAAUAAUUUAUUUUUUGUCUUAAAAAGUGCCGCACCCACAGAAUAUGGAAGUUCCCAAGCUAGGGGUUGAAUCAGAGUUAUAGCUGCUGGCCUAUGCCACAGCCACAGCAAUACCAGAUCUGAGCUACAUCUGUGACCUGUACUCUCGGCAAUGCCAGAUCCUUAACACACUGAGCAAGGCCAGGGAUCGAACCCUCGUCCUCAUGGAUACUGGUCAGACUCAUAACCACUGAGCCACAACAGGAACUCCAAUAAUGAGCAUAAUUUACAUGUAACAUUGAAUUUUGGAUGUUAAACCAACAUUGCAUUCCUGGGAUGAAUCUCAGUUACGGUGUGUGACCCUUUUUAUAUGCUGCUAGCUGCUUUAGUAUGCGAGUAUUGUAUUGAUUUGUGCCCAUAUUCACAAUAAAUAUUGCCCUGCAUUUCCUUGCAAUGUCUUUGGUUUUGUAUUCGGGUGAUACUAGACUCAUAAGAUGAGUUGGUGUUUGCUUGCAAAGGAUUGGUGCUAUUUAUUUUUUAAAUUUUAAUUUUUUUGUUUUUUUAAGGCCACACCUGUGGCACAUGGAGGUUCCCAGAUAGGGGCAGAAUUGGAGCUGUAGCUGCUGGCCUAUACCACAGCAACGUGGGAUCUGAGCUGCACCUGGGACCUAUACCAGAGCUUAUGGCAACACUGGGUCCUUAACCAACUGAGGGAGGCUAGGGAUCAAACCUGUGUCCUUGUGUAUACUAGUCAGAUUUGUUACCAUUGAGCCAAUACAGGAACUCCCUAUUUCUUUAAAUGUCUGGUAGAAUAGAGCAGUGAAGAUAUCUGGGCCUGGGAUGUUUCUUUUUCUUUUUUUGGUCUUUUUGCCAUUUCUUAGGCCACUCCCUCGGGAUAUGGAGGUUCCCAGGCUAGGGAUCCAAUCGGAGCUGUAGCUACCGGCCUACGCCAGAGCCACAGCAAUGCGGGAUCUGAGCCUCGUUUGCAACCUACACCACAGCUCACGGCAAUGCCGGAUCCUCAACCAACUGAGCAAGGCCAGGGAUCGAACCAGCAACCUCAUGGUUCCUAGUCGAAUUCAUUAACCACUGAGCCACAAGAGGAACUCCUGGGAUUUUUCUUUAUGGAUUAUUUUAAAAUUAUUAAUUCAAUCUUUUUUAUUGCCAGCUGCCUUUAAACCUACUUUUUUGGUAGAACCAAAGGCAAUUAUCUCCUAAGGCCAGUAAAAUUCAGUGAGAAAAUAUGUUAUCAAGGAAGACAUGUCCAGUGUUUUUAAGAUGCAGGUAAAUGGCUACCAAGAUUAUCCUGUAGCAAAAUUAUACUGC